UACGGAAGGUCCGGGCGUUAUCCGGAUUUAUUGGGUUUAAAGGGAGCGCAGGCUGUUGCUUAAGCGUGACGUGAAAUGGUUCGGCUCAACCGGAGCAGUGCGUCGCGAACUGGGCGACUUGAGUGCAUUCGAGGAAGGCGGAAUUUGUGGUGUAGCGGUGAAAUGCUUAGAUAUCACGAAGAACUCCGAUUGCGAAGGCAGCCUUCCAGGUUGUAACUGACGCUAAAGCUCGAAAGUGCGGGUAUCGAAC
This 250-nucleotide ribosomal RNA is filed under the name uncultured prokaryote. Its description in RNAcentral is "partial 16S ribosomal RNA". It matches the Rfam family "Bacterial small subunit ribosomal RNA", at positions 524 to 773 of the family's 1533-position model. The record is from RNAcentral.